RNAcentral lists this ribosomal RNA (702 nucleotides) under uncultured bacterium. RNAcentral's name for it is "bacterial SSU rRNA". It matches the Rfam family "Bacterial small subunit ribosomal RNA", at positions 67 to 777 of the family's 1533-position model. The record is from RNAcentral.
CGGUGAUAGCAAUAUCAUAGCGGCGCACGGGUGCGUAACGCGUAUGCAACCUACCUUAUACUGAGGGAUAGCCUUUCGAAAGGGAGAUUAAUACCUCAUAACACAUUGAACUGGCAUCAGUUUAUUGUUAAAGAUUUAUUGGUAUAAGAUGGGCAUGCGUCCAAUUAGUUAGUUGGCGAGGUAACGGCUCACCAAGACGAUGAUUGGUAGGGGAACUGAGAGGUUAAUCCCCCACACUGGCACUGAGAUACGGGCCAGACUCCUACGGGAGGCAGCAGUAGGGAAUAUUGGGCAAUGGAGGCAACUCUGACCCAGCCAUGCCGCGUGCAGGAAGAAGGCGUUAUGCGUUGUAAACUGCUUUUAUAUAGGAAGAAAUAGACCUUGCGAGGUAAGUUGACGGUACUAUAUGAAUAAGCACCGGCUAACUCCGUGCCAGCAGCCGCGGUAAUACGGAGGGUGCAAGCGUUGUCCGGAUUUAUUGGGUUUAAAGGGUGCGUAGGCGGUUUAUUAAGUCAGUGGUGAAAGACGGUCGCUCAACGAUUGCAGUGCCAUUGAUACUGGUAGACUUGAGUGGGAUUGAGGUAGCUGGAAUGGAUAGUGUAGCGGUGAAAUGCAUAGAUAUUAUCCAGAACACCAAUUGCGUAGGCAAGUUACUAAGUCUCAACUGACGCUGAGGCACGAAAGUGUGGGUAUCAAACAGGA